This is a small nucleolar RNA of Manihot esculenta (cassava), 83 nucleotides long. RefSeq annotates it as small nucleolar RNA SNORD34. Lineage: Eukaryota; Viridiplantae; Streptophyta; Magnoliopsida; Malpighiales; Euphorbiaceae. The transcript has a single exon. The record is from RefSeq and is a predicted model, not a curated record.
GGAGGCCUAGGAUGAUCUUAAAUUUGCCUACAUUGUCAGAGUGUUUAAAUCAUGACAGAUUAUUGAAUGAUUCUGAGGCCACU